RNAcentral lists this ribosomal RNA (2725 nucleotides) under Escherichia coli. Its description in RNAcentral is "bacterial LSU rRNA". It matches the Rfam family "Bacterial large subunit ribosomal RNA". Lineage: Bacteria; Pseudomonadati; Pseudomonadota; Gammaproteobacteria; Enterobacterales; Enterobacteriaceae. The record is from RNAcentral.
UAUUAUGAACAACCGGAGCAAGACGAGGCAUACACGUAAGGAGUCGUCGGAAGGGUCAGAUGUGUAUAACAAACAGUCGACACACUAUCAUUAACUGAAUCCAUAGGUUAAUGAGGCGAACCGGGGGAACUGAAACAUCUAAGUACCCCGAGGAAAAGAAAUCAACCGAGAUUCCCCCAGUAGCGGCGAGCGAACGGGGAGGAGCCCAGAGCCUGAAUCAGUGUGUGUGUUAGUGGAAGCGUCUGGAAAGGCGCGCGAUACAGGGUGACAGCCCCGUACACAAAAAUGCACAUGCUGUGAGCUCGAUGAGUAGGGCGGGACACGUGGUAUCCUGUCUGAAUAUGGGGGGACCAUCCUCCAAGGCUAAAUACUCCUGACUGACCGAUAGUGAACCAGUACCGUGAGGGAAAGGCGAAAAGAACCCCGGCGAGGGGAGUGAAAAAGAACCUGAAACCGUGUACGUACAAGCAGUGGGAGCACAGAGCAAUCUGUGUGACUGCGUACCUUUUGUAUAAUGGGUCAGCGACUUAUAUUCUGUAGCAAGGUUAACCGAAUAGGGGAGCCGAAGGGAAACCGAGUCUUAACUGGGCGUUAAGUUGCAGGGUAUAGACCCGAAACCCGGUGAUCUAGCCAUGGGCAGGUUGAAGGUUGGGUAACACUAACUGGAGGACCGAACCGACUAAUGUUGAAAAAUUAGCGGAUGACUUGUGGCUGGGGGUGAAAGGCCAAUCAAACCGGGAGAUAGCUGGUUCUCCCCGAAAGCUAUUUAGGUAGCGCCUCGUGAAUUCAUCUCCGGGGGUAGAGCACUGUUUCGGCAAGGGGGUCAUCCCGACUUACCAACCCGAUGCAAACUGCGAAUACCGGAGAAUGUUAUCACGGGAGACACACGGCGGGUGCUAACGUCCGUCGUGAAGAGGGAAACAACCCAGACCGCCAGCUAAGGUCCCAAAGUCAUGGUUAAGUGGGAAACGAUGUGGGAAGGCCCAGACAGCCAGGAUGUUGGCUUAGAAGCAGCCAUCAUUUAAAGAAAGCGUAAUAGCUCACUGGUCGAGUCGGCCUGCGCGGAAGAUGUAACGGGGCUAAACCAUGCACCGAAGCUGCGGCAGCGACACUGUGUGUUGUUGGGUAGGGGAGCGUUCUGUAAGCCUGUGAAGGUGUGCUGUGAGGCAUGCUGGAGGUAUCAGAAGUGCGAAUGCUGACAUAAGUAACGAUAAAGCGGGUGAAAAGCCCGCUCGCCGGAAGACCAAGGGUUCCUGUCCAACGUUAAUCGGGGCAGGGUGAGUCGACCCCUAAGGCGAGGCCGAAAGGCGUAGUCGAUGGGAAACAGGUUAAUAUUCCUGUACUUGGUGUUACUGCGAAGGGGGGACGGAGAAGGCUAUGUUGGCCGGGCGACGGUUGUCCCGGUUUAAGCGUGUAGGCUGGUUUUCCAGGCAAAUCCGGAAAAUCAAGGCUGAGGCGUGAUGACGAGGCACUACGGUGCUGAAGCAACAAAUGCCCUGCUUCCAGGAAAAGCCUCUAAGCAUCAGGUAACAUCAAAUCGUACCCCAAACCGACACAGGUGGUCAGGUAGAGAAUACCAAGGCGCUUGAGAGAACUCGGGUGAAGGAACUAGGCAAAAUGGUGCCGUAACUUCGGGAGAAGGCACGCUGAUAUGUAGGUGAAGUCCCUCGCGGAUGGAGCUGAAAUCAGUCGAAGAUACCAGCUGGCUGCAACUGUUUAUUAAAAACACAGCACUGUGCAAACACGAAAGUGGACGUAUACGGUGUGACGCCUGCCCGGUGCCGGAAGGUUAAUUGAUGGGGUCAGCGCAAGCGAAGCUCUUGAUCGAAGCCCCGGUAAACGGCGGCCGUAACUAUAACGGUCCUAAGGUAGCGAAAUUCCUUGUCGGGUAAGUUCCGACCUGCACGAAUGGCGUAAUGAUGGCCAGGCUGUCUCCACCCGAGACUCAGUGAAAUUGAACUCGCUGUGAAGAUGCAGUGUACCCGCGGCAAGACGGAAAGACCCCGUGAACCUUUACUAUAGCUUGACACUGAACAUUGAGCCUUGAUGUGUAGGAUAGGUGGGAGGCUUUGAAGUGUGGACGCCAGUCUGCAUGGAGCCGACCUUGAAAUACCACCCUUUAAUGUUUGAUGUUCUAACGUGGACCCGUGAUCCGGGUUGCGGACAGUGUCUGGUGGGUAGUUUGACUGGGGCGGUCUCCUCCUAAAGAGUAACGGAGGAGCACGAAGGUUGGCUAAUCCUGGUCGGACAUCAGGAGGUUAGUGCAAUGGCAUAAGCCAGCUUGACUGCGAGCGUGACGGCGCGAGCAGGUGCGAAAGCAGGUCAUAGUGAUCCGGUGGUUCUGAAUGGAAGGGCCAUCGCUCAACGGAUAAAAGGUACUCCGGGGAUAACAGGCUGAUACCGCCCAAGAGUUCAUAUCGACGGCGGUGUUUGGCACCUCGAUGUCGGCUCAUCACAUCCUGGGGCUGAAGUAGGUCCCAAGGGUAUGGCUGUUCGCCAUUUAAAGUGGUACGCGAGCUGGGUUUAGAACGUCGUGAGACAGUUCGGUCCCUAUCUGCCGUGGGCGCUGGAGAACUGAGGGGGGCUGCUCCUAGUACGAGAGGACCGGAGUGGACGCAUCACUGGUGUUCGGGUUGUCAUGCCAAUGGCACUGCCCGGUAGCUAAAUGCGGAAGAGAUAAGUGCUGAAAGCAUCUAAGCACGAAACUUGCCCCGAGAUGAGUUCU